GGAGCGCAACUGACGCUGAAGCUCGAAAGUGCGGGUAUCGAACAGGAUUAGAUACCCUGGUAGUCCGCACGGUAAACGAUGGAUGCCCGCUGUUUGCACACUAGUGUAAGCGGCCAAGCGAAAGCAUUAAGCAUCCCACCUGGGGAGUACGCCGGCAACGGUGAAACUCAAAGGAAUUGACGGGGGCCCGCACAAGCGGAGGAACAUGUGGUUUAAUUCGAUGAUACGCGAGGAACCUUACCCGGGCUUGAAUUGUGAGAGAACGACCCAGAGAUGGGAGGGCCCUUCGGGGCUCUCAUGAAGGUGCUGCAUGGUUGUCGUCAGCUCGUGCCGUGAGGUGUCGGCUUAAGUGCCAUAACGAGCGCAACCCCUCUCCAUAGUUGCCAUCAGGUAAAGCUGGGCACUCUGUGGACACUGCCACCGUAAGGUGAGAGGAAGGUGGGGAUGACGUCAAAUCAGCACGGCCCUUACGUCCGGGGCUACACACGUGUUACAAUGGCCGGUACAGAGAGCAGGGAGCCCGCAAGGUCUCUCAAAUCUAUAAAUCCGGUCUCAGUUCGGACUGGGGUCUGCAACCCGACCCCACGAAGCUGGAUUCGCU
This 601-nucleotide ribosomal RNA is filed under the name uncultured bacterium. RNAcentral describes it as "bacterial SSU rRNA". It matches the Rfam family "Bacterial small subunit ribosomal RNA", at positions 731 to 1336 of the family's 1533-position model. The record is from RNAcentral.